Molecule: ribosomal RNA, 713 nt
Filed under: uncultured bacterium
Lineage: Bacteria
Description: bacterial SSU rRNA
Rfam family: Bacterial small subunit ribosomal RNA
Source: RNAcentral
GGUGGCGAGUGGCGAACGGGUGAGUAAUGCGUUGGAACGUAUCCAUUAAUGGGGGAUAACGCAGCGAAAGCUGUGCUAAUACCGCAUACGCCCCGAGGGGGAAAGCAGGGGAUCUUCGGACCUUGCGUUAUUGGAGCGGCCGACGUCUGAUUAGCUAGUUGGUGAGGUAAAGGCUCACCAAGGCGACGAUCAGUAGCUGGUCUGAGAGGAUGAUCAGCCACACUGGAACUGAGACACGGUCCAGACUCCUACGGGAGGCAGCAGUGGGGAAUUUUGGACAAUGGGCGCAAGCCUGAUCCAGCCAUUCCGCGUGAGUGAAGAAGGCCUUCGGGUUGUAAAGCUCUUUCGGCAGGGAAGAAACAGUUGAGGCUAAUAUCCUUGACCAAUGACGGUACCUGCAUAAGAAGCACCGGCUAACUACGUGCCAGCAGCCGCGGUAAUACGUAGGGUGCGAGCGUUAAUCGGAAUUACUGGGCGUAAAGCGUGCGCAGGCGGUUUUUCAAGUCUGAUGUGAAAGCCCCGGGCUUAACCUGGGAACUGCGUUGGAAACUGAAAGACUAGAGUGCGGCAGAGGGGGGUAGAAUUCCACGUGUAGCAGUGAAAUGCGUAGAUAUGUGGAGGAAUACCGAUGGCGAAGGCAGCCCCCUGGGUCGAUACUGACGCUCAUGCACGAAAGCGUGGGUAGCAAACAGGAUUAGAUACCCUGGUAGUCG